AUUGAAGUAAAACUUAAUUAAGGCAGGCAUUAGAAUAAUUUGCCAAAUCUUCCAGCCCCUAAAAAGAUACUAUUUUAAUGUAAUUAAAAAACAAAAGCAGGUAACCCUCCUGCAUUUUUUGUAAGGUGUACUUUAACUUAAAAAAAUUAGUUCUCUAGUUGCAAAGGGUGGGAGGAGGAGAAUUCUAACCCUGGUUUUAGAACUAUUUUAAU
Molecule: long non-coding RNA, 212 nt
Filed under: Homo sapiens (human)
Lineage: Eukaryota; Metazoa; Chordata; Mammalia; Primates; Hominidae
Description: non-protein coding lnc-SERPINB1-4:1
Source: RNAcentral